Molecule: unclassified non-coding RNA, 211 nt
Filed under: Hevea brasiliensis (rubber tree)
Lineage: Eukaryota; Viridiplantae; Streptophyta; Magnoliopsida; Malpighiales; Euphorbiaceae
Source: RNAcentral
GCGAAGGCGCAUGAUAUCAAACCGCGAGUCAGCUCGACGGUCCCGCUGGAGAAAGAAGCAGCAUUUAGAGAACCUUGAGGUUGAAGUGAACCGGUUAAAAAUACAGAACCAGGAGCUGAAGAAGCUGUUGGGUUCAGUUUUAGGGCAGUGUCACGUGUUAUGGAGAGAGAAUGACCAGUUGACAACUGAAUAUUUAGGUCUCCAAGCCAGA